This 467-nucleotide ribosomal RNA is filed under the name uncultured bacterium. Its description in RNAcentral is "partial 16S ribosomal RNA". It matches the Rfam family "Bacterial small subunit ribosomal RNA", at positions 28 to 506 of the family's 1533-position model. The record is from RNAcentral.
GACGAACGCUGGCGGCGUGCUUAACACAUGCAAGUCGAACGGAAAGGCCCUGCUUUUGUGGAGUGCUCGAGUGGCGAACGGGUGAGUAACACGUGAGUAACCUGCCCUUGACUUUGGGAUAACUUCAGGAAACUGGGGCUAAUACCGGAUAGGAGCUCCUGCUGCAUGGUGGGGGUUGGAAAGUUUCGGCGGUUGGGGAUGGACUCGCGGCUUAUCAGCUUGUUGGUGGGGUAGUGGCUUACCAAGGCUUUGACGGGUAGCCGGCCUGAGAGGGUGACCGGCCACAUUGGGACUGAGAUACGGCCCAGACUCCUACGGGAGGCAGCAGUGGGGAAUAUUGCACAAUGGGCGGAAGCCUGAUGCAGCAACGCCGCGUGCGGGAUGACGGCCUUCGGGUUGUAAACCGCUUUCGCCUGUGACGAAGCGUGAGUGACGGUAAUGGGUAAAGAAGCACCGGCUAACUACGU